AGAGUUUGAUCAUGGCUCAGAACGAACGCUGGCGCAUGCCUAACACAUGCAAGUCGAACGCCUGUCGCAAGACAGGAGUGGCGGACGGGUGAGUAACACGUGGGAAUCUACCCAGUAGCCUGGAAUAACUGCGGGAAACUGCAGCUAAUACCGGAUAAGCCCCGAGGGGGAAAGGAGCAAUCCACUAUUGGAGGAGCCCGCGCCUGAUUAGCUAGUUGGUGAGGUAACGGCUCACCAAGGCGAUGAUCAGUAGCUGGUCUGAGAGGACGACCAGCCACACUGGGACUGAGACACGGCCCAGACUCCUACGGGAGGCAGCAGUGGGGAAUAUUGGACAAUGGGGGAAACCCUGAUCCAGCAAUGCCGCGUGGGUGAUGAAGGCCUUCGGGUUGUAAAGCCCUUUUGGCGGGGACGAUGAUGACGGUACCCGCAGAAGAAGCCCCGGCUAACUUCGUGCCAGCAGCCGCGGUAAUACGAAGGGGGCUAGCGUUGUUCGGAAUUACUGGGCGUAAAGGGCGCGUAGGCGGCUUUGUUAGUUGGGCGUGAAAUGCCUGGGCUCAACCCAGGAAUUGCGCUCAAUACUUCGAGGCUAGAGUGUGGGAGAGGAUAGUGGAAUUCCCAGUGUAGAGGUGAAAUUCGUAGAUAUUGGGAAGAACACCGGUGGCGAAGGCGGCUAUCUGGACCACAACUGACGCUGAGGCGCGAAAGCGUGGGGAGCAAACAGGAUUAGAUACCCUAGUAGUCC
This 745-nucleotide ribosomal RNA is filed under the name uncultured bacterium. Its description in RNAcentral is "bacterial SSU rRNA". It matches the Rfam family "Bacterial small subunit ribosomal RNA", at positions 8 to 796 of the family's 1533-position model. The record is from RNAcentral.